RNAcentral lists this ribosomal RNA (317 nucleotides) under uncultured bacterium. RNAcentral's name for it is "partial 16S ribosomal RNA". It matches the Rfam family "Bacterial small subunit ribosomal RNA", at positions 355 to 689 of the family's 1533-position model. The record is from RNAcentral.
UGGGGAAUAUUGGACAAUGGGGGCAACCCUGAUCCAGCAAUGCCGCGUGUGUGAAGAAGGUCUUCGGAUUGUAAAGCACUUUCGACGGGGACGAUGAUGACGGUACCCGUAGAAGAAGCCCCGGCUAACUUCGUGCCAGCAGCCGCGGUAAUACGAAGGGGGCUAGCGUUGCUCGGAAUGACUGGGCGUAAAGGGCGUGUAGGCGGUUUACACAGUCAGAUGUGAAAUCCCCGGGCUUAACCUGGGAGCUGCAUUUGAUACGUGUAGACUAGAGUGUGAGAGAGGGUUGUGGAAUUCCCAGUGUAGAGGUGAAAUUC